RNAcentral lists this ribosomal RNA (256 nucleotides) under uncultured bacterium. Its description in RNAcentral is "partial 16S ribosomal RNA". It matches the Rfam family "Bacterial small subunit ribosomal RNA", at positions 524 to 776 of the family's 1533-position model. The record is from RNAcentral.
UACGGAGGGUGCGAGCGUUGUCCGGAAUCAUUGGGCGUAAAGGGCGCGUAGGUGGCCACUUCAAGCGUGCGGUGAAAGUCGGGGGCUCAACCCCUGAUCGGCCGUGCGAACUGGGGGGCUGGAGCACUGUAGAGGCAGGCGGAAUUCCGGGUGUAGCGGUGGAAUGCGUAGAGAUCCGGAAGAACACCGGUGGUGAAGGCGGCCUGCUGGGCAGUUUUGCUGACACUGAGGCGCGACAGCGUGGGGAGCAAACAGG